GAUGAACGCUGGCGGCGUGCCUAAUACAUGCAAGUCGAGCGAACAGAUAAGGAGCUUGCUCCUUUGACGUUAGCGGCGGACGGGUGAGUAACACGUGGGUAACCUACCUAUAAGACUGGAAUAACUCCGGGAAACCGGGGCUAAUGCCGGAUAACAUUUAGAACCGCAUGGUUCUAAAGUGAAAGAUGGUUUUGCUAUCACUUAUAGAUGGACCCGCGCCGUAUUAGCUAGUUGGUAAGGUAACGGCUUACCAAGGCAACGAUACGUAGCCGACCUGAGAGGGUGAUCGGCCACACUGGAACUGAGACACGGUCCAGACUCCUACGGGAGGCAGCAGUAGGGAAUCUUCCGCAAUGGGCGAAAGCCUGACGGAGCAACGCCGCGUGAGUGAUGAAGGUCUUCGGAUCGUAAAACUCUGUUAUUAGGGAAGAACAAAUGUGUAAGUAACUGUGCACGUCUUGACGGUACCUAAUCAGAAAGACACGGCUAACUACGUG
Molecule: ribosomal RNA, 497 nt
Filed under: uncultured bacterium
Lineage: Bacteria
Description: partial 16S ribosomal RNA
Rfam family: Bacterial small subunit ribosomal RNA
Source: RNAcentral